GCAGCGCAUCCCAGCCCGCGAGCGCCAUUUGCUCUUUUCCAUUUUCAAGUAGCACAUCCCAGCCCUCAAGAGCUUCUCCCAUUUUCAAGCAACAGCAUCCCAUCGCCAUCGAGCAGUGGCAUCUUCGAUCGCCAUCGAGCAGCGUCUUCAAAUAGAUUGAAAGUGUAUCUGGAACAUUGGUUAUGCGCUGGGUUAACUCACAGACAGGAAGAAUUUUAGGAUGGGUUGAAUAGGCCAUUCAACAGGAGCUGAAGCCAAAUAUGGAUAAAGAAAAGGAUCCAAUGGCUGGAAUUAUGGAUUUGAUGAAGGUGAGUCCUGUAUCCAUUCUUUUCUUGGGAAAUGUCCAAUGCAUCGGAAAUAAAUGUCCACCCAUCCAAUAGAUAAAUAAUUAAAUAAGUUAA
Molecule: long non-coding RNA, 401 nt
Organism: Magnolia sinica
Lineage: Eukaryota; Viridiplantae; Streptophyta; Magnoliopsida; Magnoliales; Magnoliaceae
Exons: 3
Source: RefSeq, a predicted model, not a curated record